This 426-nucleotide ribosomal RNA is filed under the name uncultured Chlamydiae bacterium. Its description in RNAcentral is "bacterial SSU rRNA". It matches the Rfam family "Bacterial small subunit ribosomal RNA", at positions 958 to 1385 of the family's 1533-position model. The record is from RNAcentral. Lineage: Bacteria; Pseudomonadati; Chlamydiota; Chlamydiia.
AACGCGAAGAACCUUACCCAGGCUCGAAAUGCAGGUGGCGAUACCAGAGAUGGUAUUUUCCGUAAGGACGCCUGUAUAGGUGCUGCAUGGCUGUCGUCAGCUCGUGCCGUGAGGUGUUGGGUUAAGUCCCGCAACGAGCGCAACCCUUAUCAUUAGUUGCCAACACGCAAGGUGGGGACUCUAAUGAGACUGCCUAGGUUAACUAGGAGGAAGGUGAGGAUGACGUCAAGUCCGCAUGGCCUUUAUGUCUGGGGCUACACACGUGCUACAAUGGUCGGUACAGAAGGCAGCAAGACCGCAAGGUGGAGCAAAUCCGUAAAACCGAUCUCAGUUCAGAUUGUAGUCUGCAACUCGACUACAUGAAGCUGGAAUUGCUAGUAAUGACGUGUCAGCAACAACGUCGUGAAUACGUUCCCGGGCCUUGUA